UCUUGCCACUGCACUCCAGCCUGGGCAACAGAGUGAGACUCUAUCUCAAAACAAACAAAAAGUCAAACAAGAAAAUCUUAAAAUAUUAGUCAUAUCUUCUCCCACUGUAGAGGUGAGAACCUAGAGGUCUUUAUAGAAAAGAGCAAGGAAACACUCUCAGUAAAAAGGAUUGUAUUAAGUACUUUCUAUAAAUUAUCUAAUAUUUACAGUAACCCUAUGAGAUAGUAAAAUAAUUUCUAUUUUACUAGUAGAAAACUAAAUCUCUGCAAUUUUCCCAUGGUCACCUAGCUAGUGGUAGAACCAAAGUGGUUUAAAUUUCUCAAGUUGAUUUCCCAGAGAAGCUCCUCUUCUAUGCAAGCUUGGAUCUGGAAGGCUAUGAGCUGACUGGUUCUUAAAUUUAGAGAGACAUGAUUGUUGUUAUUCCAUCUUCUGGCAGCAGGUAGUUUAACAUGCUUUUACUCUUAGUAGUGUUUUAACCUAAGUUCUUAAGCAGAAGGAUUUUUAUCCGCAAUUCACUUUCUUUAGAUCUGUGACUGAAAUGGGGCAUGUAGUAAUUUUUAUCUUGAGUCUAAUAUUUCCUAUAAACGUGAAUACCCAUGAAUGGGCUAUAUUGUUGGGGGGGAAAGUAACCACACCUCA
Long non-coding RNA from Sapajus apella (tufted capuchin), 639 nucleotides. RefSeq lists it as uncharacterized. The record is from RefSeq and is a predicted model, not a curated record. NCBI's taxonomy places the organism in Eukaryota, Metazoa, Chordata, Mammalia, Primates, Cebidae. The transcript is spliced from 3 exons.